This 497-nucleotide ribosomal RNA is filed under the name uncultured bacterium. RNAcentral's name for it is "partial 16S ribosomal RNA". It matches the Rfam family "Bacterial small subunit ribosomal RNA", at positions 28 to 507 of the family's 1533-position model. The record is from RNAcentral.
GAUGAACGCUGGCGGCGUGCCUAAUACAUGCAAGUCGAGCGAACAGACGAGGAGCUUGCUCCUCUGACGUUAGCGGCGGACGGGUGAGUAACACGUGGAUAACCUACCUAUAAGACUGGGAUAACUUCGGGAAACCGGAGCUAAUACCGGAUAAUAUAUUGAACCGCAGGGUUCAAUAGUGAAAGACGGUUUUGCGGUCACUUAUAGAUGGAUCCGCGCCGCAUUAGCGAGUUGGUAAGGUAACGGCUUACCAAGGCAACGAUGCGUAGCCGACCUGAGAGGGUGUUCGGCCACACUGGAACUGAGACACGGUCCAGACUCCUACGGGAGGCAGCAGUAGGGAAUCUUCCGCAAUGGGCGAAAGCCUGACGGAGCAACGCCGCGUGAGUGAUGAAGGUCUUCGGAUCGUAAAACUCUGUUAUUAGGGAAGAACAAAUGUGUAAGUAACUAUGCACGUCUUGACGGUACCUAAUCAGAAAGCCACGGCUAACUACGUG